This is a regulatory RNA element of Enterococcus asini ATCC 700915, 78 nucleotides long. It matches the Rfam family "SAM-III riboswitch aptamer (SMK box)". NCBI's taxonomy places the organism in Bacteria, Bacillati, Bacillota, Bacilli, Lactobacillales, Enterococcaceae. The record is from Rfam.
AAUCGUUGCAAGUUCCCGAUAGGAUUCGUUAUUCGAAGAUGCCUUGUAACCGAAAAUAUUUAGGGGGAAACUAUUAUG